RNAcentral lists this ribosomal RNA (305 nucleotides) under uncultured bacterium. Its description in RNAcentral is "bacterial SSU rRNA". It matches the Rfam family "Bacterial small subunit ribosomal RNA", at positions 332 to 631 of the family's 1533-position model. The record is from RNAcentral.
CGCGCCCUACGGGAGGCAGCAGUAGGGAAUUUUCGUCAAUGGGCGCAAGCCUGAACGAGCAAUGCCGCGUGAACGAGGAAGGUCUUCGGAUCGUAAAGUUCUGUUGAAGGGGAAAAAGAGCGGAGAGAGGAAAUGGUCUCCGAUUGAUAUUACCCUUCGAGGAAGUCACGGCUAACUACGUGCCAGCAGCCGCGGUAAUAUGUAGGUGGCGAGCGUUAUCCGGAAUGAUUGGGCGUAAAGGGUGCGUAGGGGGCCUGCUAAGUCUGGAGUGAAAGGGACCGGCUCAACCGGGACAGGCGCUGGAA